CCUUGAACUCUUAUACUAUGAUGAAGUCCCUAGAACUAUGCUAGUGUACGAUAAAGAGAGGAUUUAUCGUAUAGUUCUUAAACAAGUUCGUGACCAAAUGAUACGUCAUUACGGGACGAUGACGUUUAUCAAGUGAAGGUCGUUAUAUGCCAUAUGGCUUGGUUGUCCUCUUAACCAAGGAGUGUGGUGACAUUGAUAUGGCAUACAGGUAAGAUAUAAAGGUACAUCAUCACUGAACAAGUGACUCACCUGCUGAGCAUUCUGCUGUUAAGAGCUACUCGCGAAACACAU
RNAcentral lists this long non-coding RNA (291 nucleotides) under Elaeis guineensis (African oil palm). Its description in RNAcentral is "long non-coding RNA (EGUI_LNC048024)". Lineage: Eukaryota; Viridiplantae; Streptophyta; Magnoliopsida; Arecales; Arecaceae. The record is from RNAcentral.